GUUUUCCAUCUCAUAGUCUUCGUUUUCUAAAGGAAACAACGGGACAGUGUCUACUAAAAAGUUACACAGUGGAGGACACACCCGCCCGUGUAACGUUGUGGCGCUCUUGUAAAUUUUACGCAAAACAGUGGCAGUAAGUGUGUCCGUGGCUGCUGCUGAGCUGAGAAACUUCUGUCUGCAAAAUGCCUCCAAGGACCCUCUCCUGGUCGGGGUCCCCUCUAGUGAUAAUCCCUUCAGACCCCCUAAGUCCUGCUCCCUGUUCUGAGGUA
Micropterus salmoides (largemouth bass) is the source of this 269-nucleotide long non-coding RNA. RefSeq lists it as uncharacterized. The record is from RefSeq and is a predicted model, not a curated record. The transcript is spliced from 2 exons. Lineage: Eukaryota; Metazoa; Chordata; Actinopteri; Centrarchiformes; Centrarchidae.